AUUGAACGCUGGCGGCAUGCUUUACACAUGCAAGUCGAACGGCAGCGCGGGCUUCGGCCUGGCGGCGAGUGGCGAACGGGUGAGUAAUGCAUCGGAACGUGCCCAGCAGUGGGGGAUAGCCCGGCGAAAGCCGGAUUAAUACCGCAUACGACCUGAUGGUGAAAGCGGGGGACCGAAAGGCCUCGCGCUAUUGGAGCGGCCGAUGUCGGAUUAGCUAGUUGGUGGGGUAAAGGCUUACCAAGGCGACGAUCCGUAGCUGGUCUGAGAGGACGACCAGCCACACUGGGACUGAGACACGGCCCAGACUCCUACGGGAGGCAGCAGUGGGGAAUUUUGGACAAUGGGGGCAACCCUGAUCCAGCCAUGCCGCGUGCGGGAAGAAGGCCUUCGGGUUGUAAACCGCUUUUGUUCGGGAAGAAAUCCUCUGGGCUAAUACCCCGGGGGGAUGACGGUACCGGAAGAAUAAGCACCGGCUAACUACGUG
RNAcentral lists this ribosomal RNA (484 nucleotides) under uncultured bacterium. RNAcentral describes it as "partial 16S ribosomal RNA". It matches the Rfam family "Bacterial small subunit ribosomal RNA", at positions 28 to 507 of the family's 1533-position model. The record is from RNAcentral.